Molecule: ribosomal RNA, 789 nt
Filed under: uncultured bacterium
Lineage: Bacteria
Description: bacterial SSU rRNA
Rfam family: Bacterial small subunit ribosomal RNA
Source: RNAcentral
AGAGUUUGAUCAUGGCUCAGAUUGAACGCUGGCGGCAUGCCUUACACAUGCAAGUCGAACGGCAGCGCGGGGCAACCUGGCGGCGAGUGGCGAACGGGUGAGUAAUAUAUCGGAACGUGCCCUGGAGUGGGGGAUAACGCAGCGAAAGUUGCGCUAAUACCGCAUACGAUCUAAGGAUGAAAGCAGGGGACCGCAAGGCCUUGUGCUCCUGGAGCGGCCGAUAUCUGAUUAGCUAGUUGGUGGGGUAAAGGCCUACCAAGGCAUCGAUCAGUAGCUGGUCUGAGAGGACGACCAGCCACACUGGAACUGAGACACGGUCCAGACUCCUACGGGAGGCAGCAGUGGGGAAUUUUGGACAAUGGGCGCAAGCCUGAUCCAGCAAUGCCGCGUGAGUGAAGAAGGCCUUCGGGUUAUAAAGCUCUUUUGUCAGGGAAGAAACGGUGUGGGCUAAUAUCCCGCACUAAUGACGGUACCUGAAGAAUAAGCACCGGCUAACUACGUGCCAGCAGCCGCGGUAAUACGUAGGGUGCAAGCGUUAAUCGGAAUUACUGGGCGUAAAGCGUGCGCAGGCGGUUUUGUAAGUUUGUCGUGAAAGCCCCGGGCUCAACCUGGGAAUUGCGAUGAAGACUGCAAGGCUUGAAUCUGGCAGAGGGGGGUAGAAUUCCACGUAGCAGUGAAAUGCGUAGAGAUGUGGAGGAACACCGAUGGCGAAGGCAGCCCCCUGGGUCAAGAUUGACGCUCAUGCACGAAAGCGUGGGGAGCAAACAGGAUUAGAUACCCUAGUAGUCC